Molecule: ribosomal RNA, 425 nt
Filed under: uncultured prokaryote
Description: bacterial SSU rRNA
Rfam family: Bacterial small subunit ribosomal RNA
Source: RNAcentral
UGACUAAUAUUGGGCAAGUGGUGAAAGCCUGACCCAGCAAGGAAGAGUGAAGGACGAAGUACGUCGGGAUGUAAACUGCUGUCAGGGGUCCGCAAGCGAAGGGGUCCAACAGGCCCUGGAGUUGAGCAGCCCCAGAGGAAGCCUCGACUAACUCUGUGCCAGCAGUCGCGGUAAAGCCGAGGAGGCCAGCGUUGGUCGGAAUCACUGGGCUUAAAGCGCGUGUAGGCGGCUUAGAAAGUGUCGUGUGAAAUCCCGCGGCUCAACCGCGGAACUGCACGGCAAACUACUUGGCUUGAGGUCGGUAGAGGUGCCUGGAACUCUAGGUGGAGCGGUGAAAUGCGUAGAUAUCUAGAGGAACGCCAGAAGCGAAAGCGGGGCACUGGGCCGAUUCUGACGCUGAGACGCGAAAGCGUGGGGAGCAAACA